Molecule: non-coding RNA, 75 nt
Organism: Ataeniobius toweri
Lineage: Eukaryota; Metazoa; Chordata; Actinopteri; Cyprinodontiformes; Goodeidae
Source: the annotation of a GenBank genome assembly
GGUAUGGUGGUGCAGUUGGUAGCACUAUUACCUUGCAACAAAAAGGUGUUGGGUUCAAAUCCCAGCUUGGGGUCU